CAUAUCAUCAAGCUUAACAUAAACUACUCGUUUAGCUUUUAACAAAUCACUUGUCAAUACUGUGACUGACUGAGCUGGCAAUAGUCUCACUUAGGACAGGACUUGCUUAUUUGAGGGAUCGACCUUGAUUACUACUUAAAAAGACCAAAGCAGAGGAGUUAUCAGGUUCAUGAUAUGAUGCACAUCUACAUCUUACGGUUUUUCCAGUACACACAAGAUAUACCAUGCAAAGUUGAAAGUGGAUAAAAUAGGAGAACCCAAAAUCUGAUCACGAAUCGAUGAAUAUUUUAUAGAAAGGGCCGCUGGAAAGCCGCAAGGUGAGGAUGGCAGUCUGGAAGUUGUAGAAAGUCCCCCUGGAAAGGUUGCAGAAAGAGCCAUUGGAAAGCCGCAAGUGGGGGGAAAUGAUGAUAUUGCAAAAAGUUUAGAAUUUUACAUGAGCUUUACUGCAGCGCUAUCUGACCACUAUCAGUAGUGCUACUCUAAACUUCAAUGCAAAAUGGGGUUUCGUCGUGUCGCACCCAUGAGCCAAUGUUGACUACACGGAUCAAUGUGUUCAAUUAGAUCCCUUGAUUAUUGGGAUAAAAUCAAAUCGCACAUCAGAUCCAAAAUAUCCUAUUUACCGUAGAAAUAUCUCAACAAUAACUUUGCUGUGUAGUUUGUUCCUCAGUGUGAAUUCAAAUUGUUUUUUAUUA
This is a long non-coding RNA of Medicago truncatula (barrel medic), 692 nucleotides long. RefSeq lists it as uncharacterized. The record is from RefSeq and is a predicted model, not a curated record. Lineage: Eukaryota; Viridiplantae; Streptophyta; Magnoliopsida; Fabales; Fabaceae. The transcript has 2 exons.